This 253-nucleotide ribosomal RNA is filed under the name uncultured bacterium. Its description in RNAcentral is "partial 16S ribosomal RNA". It matches the Rfam family "Bacterial small subunit ribosomal RNA", at positions 524 to 776 of the family's 1533-position model. The record is from RNAcentral.
UACAGAGGUCCCAAGCGUUGUUCGGAUUCAUUGGGCGUAAAGGGUGCGUAGGCGGCGGGGUAAGUCAGGUGUGAAAUCCCGGAGCUCAACUCCGGAACUGCACUUGAUACUACCUUGCUAGAGUACUGGAGAGGAGACUGGAAUUUACGGUGUAGCAGUGAAAUGCGUAGAUAUCGUAAGGAAGACCAGUGGCGAAGGCGGGUCUCUGGACAGUUACUGACGCUGAGGCACGAAGGCCAGGGGAGCAAACGGG